GGGGAAUUUUACGCAAUGGGGGAAACCCUGACGUAGCGACACCGCGUGAGCGAAGAAGCCUUUUGGGGUGUAAAGCUCUGUCAGCUGGAACGAACACAAUGACGGUACCAGCAGAGGAAGCAUCGGCUAACUACGUGCCAGCAGCCGCGGUAAGACGUAGGAUGCAAGCGUUGUCCGGAUUCAUUGGGCGUAAAGAGUUCGUAGGUGGUCUGUUAAGUUUGGUGUUAAAGAGCGGGGCCCAACCCCGAUAGUGCACUGAAUACUGGCAGACUCGAGUGCGGUAGAGGUAAGUGGAAUUCCAAGUGUAGCGGUGAAAUGCAUAGAUAUUUGGAAGAACACCGGUGGCGUAAGCGACUUACUGGGCCGUAACUGACACUGAGGAACGAAAGCCGGGGUAGCGAAUG
This 404-nucleotide ribosomal RNA is filed under the name uncultured bacterium. Its description in RNAcentral is "bacterial SSU rRNA". It matches the Rfam family "Bacterial small subunit ribosomal RNA", at positions 356 to 774 of the family's 1533-position model. The record is from RNAcentral.